ACAACUGCAAAAACAAAAAAUUACCUGCAAUUACCAAAAAACCGCUGCAAAUAACCGCCAUCCCAGCCAUCACAAAAAAAUGUACUGCAAACAAAAAAAAGCGAUCAUAUCCAAAAAAGUUGCCUCAACAUCAGAAACACUGCAGACAUUAAAAACGUCUAACGGAAGUGAAUCUUGAAAACACCAGUGACGUCACGACUGAUCGGAGAUCAGUUUGCAGAUUUAUACACCAGAAGUGCAUUGGUUUUUGCUAUAUUCACUGCUGCGACAAGGAGGAAAACAGGAGUACGAAUCAGAAAACGGACGAGAGAGUGUGGUCAUGUUUUGUCCUUUCUGUGGGGUGAACCUUCCAUGCAUCCUGGUAUACUGUAGCUCAUGCUACAGAAAUGUCAGGUUCCUAUUGAGUCUUCAAGAUGAAGGUCAUGAAGCUACUUCACUGGAUGGACUUAUCCAAAAAUAUUUCACAGAGGGCCAUAGUUAUGAAAUAAUAGUUGACUUACUGAAAUCAAAACACAACAUAUCAGUCAGUCUUCGCAAUCUAGAACGAAGAUUAAAAGAUGCAGGCCUGACCAGAAGACUGAACUACACUCCAAUUGCUACUCUGAGGACAGUUAUUUCUGAGGAGCUAAAGGGAUCAGGCCAUCUUUUAGGAUAUAGAGCGAUGUGGCAGAUUUUGAAACAAAAACACUCUUUUGUCGUCAGACGAGAUGAUGUGAUGCACCUCAUGGCAGAGCUGGAUCCAUGUGGAACAGAGAAUCGCA
Non-coding RNA from Oryzias latipes (Japanese medaka), 761 nucleotides. Lineage: Eukaryota; Metazoa; Chordata; Actinopteri; Beloniformes; Adrianichthyidae. The record is from RefSeq and is a predicted model, not a curated record.